RNAcentral lists this transfer RNA (72 nucleotides) under Loxodonta africana (African savanna elephant). It matches the Rfam family "tRNA". From Rfam's summary of the family: Transfer RNA (tRNA) molecules are approximately 80 nucleotides in length. Their secondary structure includes four short double-helical elements and three loops (D, anti-codon, and T loops). Lineage: Eukaryota; Metazoa; Chordata; Mammalia; Proboscidea; Elephantidae. The record is from Rfam by way of RNAcentral.
ACAUUGGUGGUUCAGUGUUAGAAGUCUUGCCUUCCAUGCAGGAGACCCUGGGUUCGAUUCCCAGCCAACGAA